AUAUAAAUGAAGGUCUCCCACAUUAUUUAGAGUAACUUUAAGCUAAGAAAACUUAUUGCUUCCAUCUAACAUCUUUACUAAGCCUUAAAAAGCAUCUUAGUGUGAGAAAAGUGCAAAAAUUCUUGUUGUAUCAAAUUUUCUCUUGAUAUUCUUCUUAAUCUUGAUUUGUGCUUCAAAUUAGCAAACAUCCAACCUUAGAGAGGUUUUUUGAGUUUACAAAAUACUUCAAAAAGUAGCAUUGUGAGGUUGUAAGCUUAAGGGGGAGGAUAACCCUUAAGAAAUUGUGUUGUUGAUUGUAUAAAACUUUGAAAAGUUAGGUUGUAACUUUCAACACAGAGUAGAUUGAAUUAUUUGGCAAGUAAGGCUAAGGGAGAGGAUUUAGUUGCCUAUAGGAACGGUCGAACCUUUAUAAAUUUUGGUGUUUGAUUUUCUACCUCUAUCACUUGCUUUUAAGAUUAUUAGUACUCAUAUUUGUUAUGUUUACUUGUUUAAAAAAAUUGAUUUAUGAUUUUUGUGCUUGUUGGAUAUUGAAUUCACAAAAAUUUACUAUUAACAAAUUUACUCUCCUCUUGGUUUAAUUAAAGUAUUUAAGUUAACAAUUGAUAUCAGAGCUAGUAUUAUAUUUUGUAUGUCUAACAACCUAAGAGUGAUCUUAUAAAUAGCGAAAAGAAGUAUGGUGAUCAAUGUGGAGUAAUCAUCUUCAAGCUACAACAAAUAUAGUGGGUAACAAGAAAUAUGUUUCAUGAAAAAUGAAACGAUUGCUACGUCUCUUAGAAGUGAAGGCCAUUCAAUUGAAAGACCUCUUUUUUUGUUGGUGACAACUACUUAUAUUGGAAAACUAGGAUAAAAUUAUUUAUUCAAGCCAAUGACUAUGAAAUUUAGAGGGUCAUUGUAAAUGGUCCUCAAAUUCUAAUAAAGAUAGUGGAUGGUAGAGAGGUGAUCAAGUAAGAAAGUGAAUAGAAUGCCAAUGAUAUGAAGAUGGCUCAACAGAAUGCCAAAGCAAUUCCUACACACUUUUGUGUUUUGGGGCCUAGUAAGUACAAUAGAGUUUCAUUAUGUGAAAAGGAAAAGAAAAUUUAAGACAAGUUGGCCAUCACUCAUGAAGGUACUAAUCAAGUGAAAGAAACCAAAAUUGACAUGCUUACUGAAGAGUAUAAGCUAUUCAAGAUGAAAUCAGAAGAAACCAUUAGUGAAAUGUCAAACCACUUCACUGACAUUAUUAAUAGUUUGAAGGCUCUUGGGAAGACUUACUCAAAUGUAGAGAUGAUGAAAAAAAUUUUAAAUAGUCUACCAGAGAGCUAAUAAGCUAAGAUGACAGCCAUUGAAAAGUUUAAAGAUUUUCACAUACUUUCUUUAGAUGAACUCAUAGUCUCUCUUUUUACCUAUGAGAUAAAGCUCAAAAGAGGAUAAAAACCAAUAAAGAAAGGUGGUAUUGCUCUCAAAUCAACCUUUCAAGAAGAUGAAGAAAAACUUGAGCAAGAUGAGGUUGAUGAAGAUGAAGAAAUGACCAUGUUUGUAAAAAAGUUCAAGAAGUUCAUGAAGAUGAAUAUGUUCUCAAACAAAAUAAGACCAUAAAAAGAAAUGAUCAAAAGGGAAUCAAGUAGAAGAGAAAUGGAUCAAAUUGUUUGCUAUGAUGCAACAGAGAGGGUCAUAUCAAAGUCGAUUGUCCUUUAUGAAAGAGGCAAAACACAAUGAAGCCAAAGAAUAAAGCAAUGGUUGCAACGUGAAGUGCUAGUGACUGCUUCGAUGAUGAAUCAAAUGAGGAAGAAGUAGCCAACCUAUGUCUUAUUGCUUUUGAUAAGCCCAAGGUAAUUUUUAAUUCAAAUGAUUUAAGUUCAUACAUAUUAAUUGCAAGAUGCUUUUUAAUGAAUUAGCUAUAAAAUUUGAAAGCAUGAAACUGAAGUAUAGGAAAAUGAUUUGUAAGUUAAAGGUAGUGAAUGAGCUUUUGACUAAAGCAAAGGAUGACAUAAAAAAGGAAAUUUGAGCUUUUACAAUUGAAUGUUGAUGAUUUGACUAAGAAAAAUGAGAAUUUGCAUAACUUAUUUUUUAGAUUUUAUAUGGGACAUCAAAAACUCAAUGACAUGCUUGAAACACAAAAAACAUUCUUUGAUAAAGAUGGAUUAGGCUAUAAUGUGGUGACAAAGAGACUCAUUUGAAGAAAUUUCCUUACUAGGCCAAAUAUUCAUUAACACAUGUACAUAUUGUCAUUAAAUUAAGGUCAUCUUAAGGGGGACAAUAUUGUUCCUUAAGAAAGUCACUCAUAUAAGUAAACUCAUUAAGGAGUGUUGGAUCUCUAAAAGGAGUUAGCAACGAUCUGAAGAUGGAUUACUAGGAUGAAGUGGAUUCCAAAAGGCACAAGAAUUAAUGAGUGUUAACAACAAAUCAAAGUCUCAAGAAAGGUUAUGGGUACCCAAAGACAAACUUUGAUUAUAUUUUUGUAGAUGGAUGAACAUUGCUAGCAGGUAAAUUUAAGCAAGAACAUAAUCCACUGCGAUACCAUAGAUAAUAGGAUUCAUCGAUAGCAUGUGAUCGGAGACAAGGCUCAAUUCAAGGAUUUAAAGGCUAAAAAUGAAGGAGAUGUUACAUUUAGAGACAACUCCUAAGGCCAAGUUGAAGGGAUUAGCUUCAUUGAUAACAAUUCUUCUACUACUAUUAAAAAUAUUUUACUUGUGAAAAGAACCAAGCGUAAUUUACUUAGUAUUAGUCAAUUGUGUGACAAAAGACUUAGAGUUGUAUUUGAAUCCAUGUGCUGUUGAGUGAUUGAUAUCAAGACUAACAAACUUGUUUUUGUUUGACAUCAUCAAGAAAAUGUUUAUGUGGUACAUUUGGAUGAUCUAUUUUUAAAAAUAUUUGCUUUAUGGCUAAAAAAAAUAAAAGUUGGAUUUAGCAUAGAAGACUUGGACAUGUAAGUAUGCACGUAAUUUCAAAACUUUUUCAAAAUGAUUUAGUCGUUGGUUUACCAAAAUUGAAAUAUGAAAAUGAUAAGGUUUGUAAUGCAUGUGCUCAAGGAAAACACAAAAAAAUCCCUUUCAAACUUAAGAAUUAUAUUUCAACUAUUAGACCUCUUCAACUAUUUCAUAUUGAUCUUUUUGGUCCUACGAGGACAAUAAGCCUUGGUGGAAAAUAAUAUGAGUUUGUUAUUGUUUAUCAUGUUACUAAAUAUACAUAUGUUCUCUUCUUGCAUUCAAAGAAUGAAGCUUUGGAAAAAUUUAUCACUUUUAGCAAACAAAUACAAAAUGAGAAAGAUUAUUCAAUUUUUAGUAUAAAAAAUGAUCAUAGAAAAGAAUUUAAAAACCUUGGUUUUAAUUUGUUUUAUAGUGAAAAUGGUAUUAGCCAUAAUUUUUUUGCUCCUAGAAUUCUUCAACAAAAUGGGGUAGUAGAAAGGAGAAAUAGAACUUUAGAAGAAAUGGCUAGAACCAUGCUUUAUGAAAAUAAUUUACCUAGAUAUUUUUGGAUAAAAACCAUAAAUACCUAUUGUUAUAUUAUAAUUAUGUUGCUUUUCUCUCUCACAUUGAACCUAAGAACAUACAUGCAGCAUUUGAAGAUAAUCAUUAGAUAUUGGCUAUGUAAGAGGAAUUGAACCAAUAUGAAAAAAGUCAAGUGUGAAAUAACCAAUAUGAAAAAAGUCAGUGUGGAAUCUUGUACCUAAGCCUAGUGAUCAUUCCAUUAGAGGAACUAAAUGAGUUUUUACGAAUAAAAUGGAUAAGCAUGGCAGUGUUGUUAAAAACAAAGCUAGGUUAAUGGCUCAAAGGUAUAGUCAAGAAGAAGGAAUUUACUAUGAUGAAACUUAUGCUCCGAUUGCAAGAUUAGAAGUCAUUAAAAUGUUACUUGCAUUUGCAUGUUUCAAAGAUUUCAAGCUCUUUCAAAUGAAUGUCAAGAGUGCAUUUCUAAAUGAUUUUAUAAAUAAAGAGGUGUAUGUAGAGCAACCUCUUGAUUUUGAAAAUCUUCAAUUUCCAAAUCAUGUUUAUAGAUUGACAAAAGCUUUAUAUGACUUAAAACAAGCUCUUAGAGCUUGAUAUGAAAGAUUAUCAAAGUUUUUAAUUGAAAAUGAUUUUAAUAGAGGAAAUGUUGAUACUACACUUUUUAUUAAAACAAAAAGAAAAGACAUUCUCAUUGUGUUAGUUUAUAUUGAUGAUAUUAUAUUUGGUGCUACUAAUGAAGUUCUUUGCCAAGAAUUUGCUAAAACUAUGCAAGAUGAAUUUGAAAUGAGCAUGACGGGAGAGCUUACAUUCUUCUUGGGAUUACAAGUAAAGCAAACAAAAGAUGGUACCUUCAUCAAUCAAGCUAAAUACAUCAAGGACUUGCUAAUAGGGUUUGGAUUGGAAGAAUCAAAGCCUUACUCAACACCUAUGAGCACUUCAACAAAACUUGACAAGGAUGAAGGAGGUAAAUGUAUUGAUUUUAAAUUACAUAGGUCUAUAUUGGUUCAUUGUUAUAUCUUACUGUAAAUAGACCAGAUAUAAUGUUUAGUAUGUGCUUAUAUGCUAGAUUUCAAUCAUUACCUAGAGAAUCACAUUUACUUGCUCUUAAAAGAAUUUUUAGAUACCUUAAAGACAUUCCCAACUUAGGAUUAUGGUAUCCAAAAGGUUCAUCUUUUGUUUUGCAUACUUAUUGUGAUGCAAAUUUUGGUAGUUAUAAAAUUGAUAGAAAGAGCACUUCUGGUCCUUGUCAAUUGUUUAAGAAAAUACUCAUAUCAUGGUUUUUCAAGAAACAAAAUAGUAUUGCUCAAUCCACAACUGAAGCCGAAUAUGUAGCGGUCAAUAGUUGUUGUGCUCAAGUUUUAUAGAUUAAACAAUAAUUGAAGGAUUUUGGAAUUACCAUGGAUCAUAUUCACAUUAAAUGUGAUAAUACUAGUGCCAUCAAUCUUUCCAAAAAUCCCAUUCAACAUUCAAGAACUAAGCAUAUUGAAAUUAGGCAUCAUUUUAUUAGAGAUAUGUUCAAAAAGGUCAUAUUGUGCUUGAAUAUAUUGAUAUAUUACAUCAAUUAACUGAUAUUUUUACAAGAUCUCUUGAUAAAGAUAGAUUUUAUAUAAUUAGAGGUGAACUUGGUAUGAUGAAUGCUCUUUGAAAUGAAAGUUUAGAUAAAUUGAUAAAUUUGUACCUUGUUUAACCAAAUGUGUGUUUAUCUUAAUAUACUUUUGAAAUCUUGUCUAUGAUUAUAUUUGUAAUUAUAUGAUGCAUAUUUGAAUAGUUAUAUUACAUGUUUUUAAAAAUAAAAAAAAAUUUUAAUUUAAAUUUAAAUUAAAAAAAAUUUGCUACAAGUGAACUAAUCGAUCCUAGAGACACUAGAUCGAUUGGUUUUCUUUUUAGUAGCCAAAAUAAAGUUGAAAACCUCAAACCCGAUCGAUCCUCCUUGGACCCGAUCAAUCAAUUCAUAGCUUGCUUAGGUGCAUCAAGGCCUUACCCAAUUGAUCCCCUUGCUACCCAGUUGAUCGGGUUAUGAAUGGUCUCCUAUAUACACACUGUUUUGACCACUUAAAAAUCUGGACUUUCCUCUUUCCUUGGUUGACCUUAGUCUAUUUUUGUUCUUCUUAAAAUUUUCUCCUAAAACCCCAAGUAUUCAUGCUUCACUUUUCUUUUAAAAUUGAUCACUUUCAACUAAAAUCUUUUGUAAAUUUCUUCAUAUCUGUUUGAUUUCUUGCAAAAUCUUUUUCAAAAAUUAUUCAAAUCAUAUAAAAAUCUUCACUCAUGUUUCUCCCUCUAGAAAUUUGAUCCUUUUUUGUGCCUCUAUUGAAACUAUCUCAUUCACUAAAUUUUUUUGCCUUUCUCAAACAUAUAAUACUACUUGUUACCUACAUUCACAGAUUCCUUCACAUAGACCUACCUAUUUUCACUAUUUCAUUGUUUCCAUGGCACCUAAAACAAGACCUUCUCUUGCCACAAAGAGAAGUCCACCAAGGGAAGCCUAUAGUUCUUUAAUCAAGCCUUCUUUCAACUAAAAUUUCAAAAAUUCUACAACAAAAGAAAGAUAUGAGACUCAUUUUGCUUAUAGAGAAGUCAAACAAGGAAGGGUAAUCAAUCUUAAUUUCUUUAAAUCCAUUGGAUUUCCAUACUUUCAUUCUUUUGAGAAUUUUGAUUGGAUGAACUAUUUUAGUUUGAAUGGCAUUGUCUUUGAGAAUCUAGUAAGGGUAUUUUAUAGUAAUGUAAACUGUAUUAAAGUUGAUGGACAUGAGAAUAGGUAUUAUACUAAUAAAUUUAGGACAUUUGUGAUGGGUAGAGAAAUAAUUGUGGAUAAAAGCUUGUUGGCUGAAACUUUCAUGUUAGAAGAUAAUGGAGACAUAAACAGUAGAUGUGAUAUACUAUUGGCCUAAGAUAUUUUUAAGAAUGAUGAUUUGAGGGCUUCUCUAACUCAGGCUUCUAGGUUGAACACGCAUGAUAGAUUGUUUUAUCUUAUUGUCACACAUGUGUUAGUACUAUUUGAAACCCAAUACUUCAUUAGAAAAGCAAGAUUAUUGGUGGAUAUAUAAGAUCAAACAUAAGAAGAAGCCCAAUAUUGUGCACUUUAUUUUUAAUGAUAUGAUAAAGGUUGUUCAAAACAAGGACUACACUUUGGUAUAUGGAAUAGCCAUUUGCAAUCUAUUUAGGAGGGUGGGUAUCAAUCCUAGAAGUGAUAGAAAAAUUGUGUCCAAUCCUACUAGUAUUAUUAGAGUUCAUACAUUUCAUAGUAUGGGAUACAUUCAAAAUGUUAUUGGGGUAUGGAUUAAGAAAAGUUAACUUAGAGUUAAGCAUGAAGAAAAUCACAAGGUUCAAGAUUUUUCUCAAGAAGUUCCAUAAGAUAUUCCUCGAGAAGGUUUUUCUAUCCACCAUUUGAUACCCAGAGAGCUUUACAAAUUUUUGUGACUCAAAUGAACAAUUUACACUUAUUGGUUGGGGAUAUGAACUCUACAUUGGAAAACAUGGAAUUAACACAAAAUAAGAUGGUUUCAUAAGUUCAAUAAGUUAGGACUAAUAUUGGACAAAUUUGAAUUGCAUAAAAGCAAAUAGAGCAGCAAUUUCAUCAUUUUUCUCCUAUCCUCCUCCACCUUGACCUAUCCUUUAAGCCAAGCUUAAAUGUUUUUUUCCUACAUGUUUUUCUUUUAUGUUUUUUUUUAAGAUUUUAAUUUCUUCAAGCUAAUUUAUUGUAGCAUCAAUUUGGUACUUUGCACUAAGGGCAUGAACUUUAGUGGUAUGAACUUUUCUUUGCUUGCUUGUGUGGUUUUGAGAUUCAAAGUUUAUUGUAAAUGAUUAUGUUGCUAUGAAUGUGCUAUUAUGGUUAUUCUCAUUCUUGAUGUUAUGAUGCUAAGUUGAGCUAUAGUACUGACAUUCAAUAAUAUGGGCUUUAUGUUGAAUAUAAUAUUGUUGCCUUGAAUUGAUUGAGCAAGUUGAUCUUACAUUGGUUAUAGUAUUAUUACCUUGCUUUUGGAUUUUUCUUUUUUUUGCUAUGACAAAAAGGGGAAAAGUUAGUUUGUGUAUUGUGAAAAUUUACUAGUGAAGAGUUUUGCUAAAUUAUUAUGUUACUAGUUGAUAAAUUUUUAAUUGCUUGGGAGACUUCUACCUUAUAUAUUUGUUUUGCUCACAAUGCAAAAUUGGCCUUUUAAUUUUCUUGAUCUUAUUUAAAUUCAGGGGGAACUUUCUUAAAAAAGAAAAAUGUUUUCAAAGCAAAUUUUUUUUUACUAUUGAUUUUGUCAUAUAAAAAAGAGAGAGAUUGUUAGCCUUGAAUUGAUAAAACACUUUAAAAUGAUAAAACAAAAAUUUGCUAAAGUUGAAUUAAAAUGAUUUAAAAUUAAUUUGAAUACCUUUUCAAUUUUCAAUCUAGUCAAAAAUAUGUUUAAAUUUAUCCGGCAUGUUUUAAAAGUAAAAUUGGGCUAAGUAGCAUAGAAGGGAUUAAUCCCCCCUUAUGGGGAUUGAUUGAGUUUUUGGCCAAAAAAGAUUUUCCUGUAAGUUUCAUGAAAACCAAUCGAACCCUUCCUUGUAUGGAUCGAUUGAUUACAAGUUUUUAAAGAUAGGAUUGAUCCCUUCUUGAAGGGAUCGAUUGGCUUUUUGCACAGAGUGAAAUGUUUGUUCUAUAAUUUAAAAAGAGAUUGAACACUUAGACUAAAGGAUCGAUCACCUGAAAAAGGAAUCGAUUGGUACCAAAUAUGAAUCAAUUGGUUGCAUCUUUUUUUGCAAAACUCUGCAUGUAUUUUGACUAACCUAAUUGAUCCCCCCAAUAGGGGAUCGAUCCCUUUAUGCCCAAAAUACUUACAAUGGCUAGUUUUGCCUAAAAUUUUGCAAAAGCUCUAAACAAUUAAUGCAAGCAAUGGUUAUCUUCCAUUCUCAACAUAUAAAUGAAAGGUUUCUCACUACAUUUGGAGUAACUUAGAGCCAAGAAAACUUAUUGCUUCCAUCUACCAACUUCACCAAGCAUUAAAGAGCAUUUUAAUGUGAGAAAAAUGCAAAAAUUCUUGUUGUAUCAAAUUUUCUCUUGAUAUUCUUCUUAAUCUUGAUUAAUACUUCAAAUUAGCAAAUACCUAACCUUAGAGAGGUUCUUUGAGUUUGUAAAACACUUCAAAAACUUGCAUUGUGAGGUUAUAAG
RNAcentral lists this long non-coding RNA (8553 nucleotides) under Durio zibethinus. RNAcentral's name for it is "long non-coding RNA (DZIB_LNC001104)". The record is from RNAcentral. Lineage: Eukaryota; Viridiplantae; Streptophyta; Magnoliopsida; Malvales; Malvaceae.